GCAUGCAGGUCUAUGUUUUAUAUCAACACCAUAUGAAUGUUAUAGAAUGUGCUUUGGGCUUUUUAGCCUUUAAAUCAUAUACAACUUUCAACAACGGAUCUCUUGGCUCUCGCAUCGAUGAAGAACGCAGCGAAAUGCGAUAAGUAAUGUGAAUUGCAGAAUUCAGUGAAUCAUCGAAUCUUUGAACGCACCUUGCGCUCCUUGGUAUUCCGAGGAGCAUACCUGUUUGAGUGUCAUUAAAUUCUCAAUCCCUACAAUCUUGUGUUGUCAGGUGAUUGGAUUAUGGGGGCUUGCUGGCCUUGUUCAGCUCCCCUUAAAAGCAUUAGCAGGACAUUAUGCCAUCUGUGCUUUGUAUGAUAUCUAUCUAUACACUGUACUCGUUGUGCACAACUGCUUCCAACUGUCAUCUGACAUUUGACCAAUUUGACCUCAAAUCAGGUAGGACUACCCGCUGAACUUAAGCAUAUCAAUAAGCGGAGGAAAAGAAACUAACAAGGAUUCCCCUAGUAACUGCGAGUGAAGCGGGAAAAGCUCAAAUUUAAAAUCUGGCGGUCUCUGGCUGUCCGAGUUGUAAACUAGAGAAGCGUUUUCCGUGC
Molecule: ribosomal RNA, 596 nt
Filed under: uncultured fungus
Lineage: Eukaryota; Fungi
Description: eukaryotic LSU rRNA
Rfam family: 5.8S ribosomal RNA (bases 83-236)
Source: RNAcentral